RNAcentral lists this ribosomal RNA (238 nucleotides) under uncultured bacterium. RNAcentral's name for it is "partial 16S ribosomal RNA". It matches the Rfam family "Bacterial small subunit ribosomal RNA", at positions 96 to 334 of the family's 1533-position model. The record is from RNAcentral.
CGGCGGACGGGAGAGUAACGCGUGGGUAACCUGCCUCAUACAGGGGGAUAACAGUUGGAAACGGCUGCUAAUACCGCAUAAGCGCACAGUACCGCAUGGUACGGUGUGAAAAACUCCGGUGGUAUGAGAUGGACCCGCGUCUGAUUAGGUAGUUGGUGGGGUAACGGCCUACCAAGCCGACGAUCAGUAGCCGACCUGAGAGGGUGACCGGCCACAUUGGGACUGAGACACGGCCCAA